Molecule: long non-coding RNA, 1390 nt
Filed under: Astyanax mexicanus (Mexican tetra)
Lineage: Eukaryota; Metazoa; Chordata; Actinopteri; Characiformes; Acestrorhamphidae
Description: lncRNA (ENSAMXG00005016464.1)
Source: RNAcentral
ACUGUGUUAUAAUAUCACUGACAGUUGGCUGUGGAAUGUUUAGUAGUGAGUAGAGAAAAAUUUCACGAUCCACUCACAGUACCACAGUGCUGGAGUUCACUGAGAGCCUGAGACCCAUUCUUUUACUAAUGUUUGUAGAAGCAGUCCCAGCAUGCCUAGCUGCUGCUUUUACUAUUAUACACCUGUGGACAUGGAAGUGAUUAAUUGAAACCUGAGUUCGAUGAUUUGGACAGGGAAAGAAUUGUAAUAGUCUGUAGAACCUUCUCACUCAAUGCUAACGCUGUUUUUUUGUUAUUUAGGUGCCAAAUCCAACAGCAUUGAGGACACCUCGGCUCACGUGACGUCGCUUGGUUAUUCUACUUAUCCUCUUCAGCCGCAGGUAAGCUAAGCUUGGGGUGGACUUUUACUCUAAUAUUUGGUUGAACCACCUUUAGCUUUGAUUGCAGCUUUACACAUUCACUGUGUCAUUGCUUCAAUAAGCUUCUGCAACGUCACAAGAUUUAUUUCAAUCCAGUGUUGCUGGAUUAAUUGUUCACCAAGAUCUUGCAGCAGCAUUGAUGAUGGUAGAGUCUGACCACUGCACAAAGCAGCUCUUCUCCAUCCAGCACAUCCCAAAGAUUCUCAAUGAGGUUAAGAUCUGGACUCUGUGGUGAACUCUCUCUCUCAAUCCAUGUGUGAAAAUGAUGAUCUCAUGUUUCCUGAAUCACUGUUUCAGCCCCAUGAAUUCUGGCAUUGUUAUCUUGGAAUAUGCUCGUGUUCAUCAGGGAAGAAAAAUCCAUUGAUGGAAUAACCUGGUCUAUAUUCAGUAUAUUCAGGUAGUCAGCUGAUCUCAUUCUUUCAGCACAUACUGUUGCUGAACCUAAACCUGCAGACCAACUGCAGCAUCAACCAACCCCACAUCAUUUACUUACUUAAAUCCAGGUGGAGACGUUUUUUGACCAGACAGUAUAUAUAUAUAUAUGUACUGUACUACUGUGGGAUGGAAUGAAGGUCUUACGCACAGCAUGUGUUUUGUGUGUUUUGGGUGUUUUUUUCACAGAUGUCAAGCUACAUGUUAUCCCAAGAAAGGAGAGACUGGAGAGAUUACGGCACAGACCACCCUCACCACCAGCCCCCCCACGCAGAGCUGCCCUACUGCCCUCCGUACCCACCGGCUCGGCCUCUACAGUGGCACGCGCCACCCUGCGACAACGGUUAUCAGAUAUCCGGCUCGUUUUAUACCUACACCCCAACAGAGUCACAUCCCGUCUCAGUGGACCCCAGCAUGAGAUCAGCGGAGGCCAUGGCCAUCUCUGGUAAACAUAAAAACACACAUACACACAAAAUUUAAUUAACCCUUGUGUGGUGUUCAUAUUUUUGUUACUCGUUUACUUUGUUACUUGUAUUUAAU